Molecule: non-coding RNA, 265 nt
Organism: Arachis ipaensis
Lineage: Eukaryota; Viridiplantae; Streptophyta; Magnoliopsida; Fabales; Fabaceae
Source: RefSeq, a predicted model, not a curated record
CCGCUGCCGCUUGAGGCGGCUGACGCAGCCGCUACCAGGUUGAUAUGGAGCUGCGGCUGUUUUGUUAAUUCAGAGUUAGAAUCCAGUUUGCUUAUGCCGCUUGUAGCUGUUUCUGAUUUUGUAACAAGUAGAGCCGAGGUUUUGGUUGCCGGUGAUUUCGAGUUGAGGCGGAAAUGGGCUUGAUGAGGCGUUUGGAUUAUGGAAUUGCGUUUUGAGGAUAUGGGCGCAGAAGUCACGAAGAGUUUAUUUAGUUGUUGUUGAAAUG